UCGCCGGGAAGUAUUGUUUGUAUGUGUGCCUUCCAAGCACGGGGCCUGAACUUAUCUCAGUCCGGUGAG
Molecule: transfer RNA, 69 nt
Filed under: Anadara vellicata
Lineage: Eukaryota; Metazoa; Mollusca; Bivalvia; Arcoida; Arcidae
Description: tRNA-Gly
Source: RNAcentral